ACUUUGCCUUGCCUAAUUGCUCUGGCCAGGACUUCCAAUAUUAUGUUGAAUAGGAGUGGUGGGAGAGGGUAUCCUUAUUUUCUGCCAGUUUUCAAGAGAGGAAUGCUUAUAGUUUUUGC
This is a long non-coding RNA of Sapajus apella (tufted capuchin), 119 nucleotides long. RefSeq lists it as uncharacterized. The record is from RefSeq and is a predicted model, not a curated record. The transcript has 3 exons. NCBI's taxonomy places the organism in Eukaryota, Metazoa, Chordata, Mammalia, Primates, Cebidae.